Molecule: ribosomal RNA, 497 nt
Filed under: uncultured bacterium
Lineage: Bacteria
Description: partial 16S ribosomal RNA
Rfam family: Bacterial small subunit ribosomal RNA
Source: RNAcentral
GAUGAACGCUGGCGGCGUGCCUAAUACAUGCAAGUCGAGCGAACGGACGAGAAGCUUGCUUCUCUGAUGUUAGCGGCGGACGGGUGAGUAACACGUGGAUAACCUACCUAUAAGACUGGGAUAAUUUCGGGAAACCGGAGCUAAUACCGGCUAAUAUUUUGAACCGCAUGGUUCAAAAGUGAAAGACGGUCUUGCUGUCACUUAUAGAUGGAUCCGCGCUGCAUUAGCUAGUUGGUAAGGUAACGGCUUACCAAGGCAACGAUGCAUAGCCGACCUGAGAGGGUGAUCAGCCACACUGGAACUGAGACACGGUCCAGACUCCUACGGGAGGCAGCAGUAGGGAAUCUUCCGCAAUGGGCGAAAGCCUGACGGAGCAACGCCGCGUGAGUGAUGAAGGUCUUCGGAUCGUAAAACUCUGUUAUUAGGGAAGAACAGAUGUGUAAGUAACUGUGCACAUCUUGACGGUACCUAAUCAGAAAGCCACGGCUAACUACGUG